UGCCAAUCUUCUUGUUGUCACUCUGC
This 26-nucleotide non-coding RNA is filed under the name Homo sapiens (human). Lineage: Eukaryota; Metazoa; Chordata; Mammalia; Primates; Hominidae. The record is from RNAcentral.